GCCGGUGUAGAGGAGUCAGGCCGUCCUCGCUUCCCUGUCAAGGAAGAAAUCGCGGGUUCGAAUCCCGUCACGGGCG
Molecule: transfer RNA, 76 nt
Filed under: Nocardia uniformis
Lineage: Bacteria; Bacillati; Actinomycetota; Actinomycetes; Mycobacteriales; Nocardiaceae
Rfam family: tRNA
About the family: Transfer RNA (tRNA) molecules are approximately 80 nucleotides in length. Their secondary structure includes four short double-helical elements and three loops (D, anti-codon, and T loops).
Source: Rfam by way of RNAcentral